CCUACGGGUGGCAGCAGUGGGGAAUAUUGGACAAUGGGCGAAAGCCUGAUCCAGCCAUACCGCGUGUGUGAAGAAGGCCUUCGGGUUGUAAAGCACUUUCAGUGGGGAAGAAAGCCUUGGGGCUAAUACCCUCGAGGAAGGACAUCACCCACAGAAGAAGCACCGGCUAACUCCGUGCCAGCAGCCGCGGUAAUACGGAGGGUGCGAGCGUUAAUCGGAAUUACUGGGCGUAAAGCGCGCGUAGGCGGUCUGAUAAGCCGGUUGUGAAAGCCCCGGGCUCAACCUGGGAACGGCAUCCGGAACUGUCAGGCUAGAGUGCAGGAGAGGAAGGUAGAAUUCCCGGUGUAGCGGUGAAAUGCGUAGAGAUCGGGAGGAAUACCAGUGGCGAAGGCGGCCUUCUGGACUGACACUGACGCUGAGGUGCGAAAGCGUGGGUAGCAAACAGGAUUAGAUACCCGAGUAGUC
This 465-nucleotide ribosomal RNA is filed under the name Vreelandella stevensii. RNAcentral describes it as "partial 16S ribosomal RNA". It matches the Rfam family "Bacterial small subunit ribosomal RNA", at positions 338 to 795 of the family's 1533-position model. The record is from RNAcentral. Lineage: Bacteria; Pseudomonadati; Pseudomonadota; Gammaproteobacteria; Oceanospirillales; Halomonadaceae.